UACGUAGGGUCCGAGCGUUGUCCGGAAUCAUUGGGCGUAAAGAGCUCGUAGGCGGUCUGGCGCGUCGGCUGUGAAAACUCAGGGCUCAACCCUGAGCCUGCAGUCGAUACGGGCAGACUAGAGUUCGGUAGGGGAGACUGGAAUUCCUGGUGUAGCGGUGAAAUGCGCAGAUAUCAGGAGGAACACCGGUGGCGAAGGCGGGUCUCUGGGCCGAUACUGACGCUGAGGAGCGAAAGCGUGGGGAGCGAACAGG
Molecule: ribosomal RNA, 253 nt
Filed under: uncultured bacterium
Lineage: Bacteria
Description: partial 16S ribosomal RNA
Rfam family: Bacterial small subunit ribosomal RNA
Source: RNAcentral